GCCUGCAGCCAUACCACCUUGGGCUCUGAUCUAGUUCAGUAUCAUAAGACAAGAAAGGUCAGGCUUGGUCAGUACUCAAAUAGGACCCCUGCAAGGUAAACCCAGAUGCUGCAAGUC
RNAcentral lists this ribosomal RNA (117 nucleotides) under Crocodylus porosus (Australian saltwater crocodile). Lineage: Eukaryota; Metazoa; Chordata; Crocodylia; Crocodylidae. The record is from RNAcentral.